Molecule: non-coding RNA, 924 nt
Organism: Phascolarctos cinereus (koala)
Lineage: Eukaryota; Metazoa; Chordata; Mammalia; Diprotodontia; Phascolarctidae
Source: RefSeq, a predicted model, not a curated record
GGUUUUCAGUCUCUCUGUGCCAUCUGUUCUUCUCUUCCUCCAUCUGCUGGGGUAUAGCUGCUGGCUUGAAUGUCUUGGCUGAUUUGCAUGACAUUUACAAGAAGGGAAGAAUGAAUCCAGAAAAGCAGAAUCCCUCACACAGAAUUCAAGGAUGGAGAGGUCAUUGCUGGCUUCUUGUAGGAGAGAGUAUUUGAGUUGGACCUUGAACAAUGGGGAAACGGUUGUACCUGGACCAGUACCAAAAGAUGAAUGGAGCUCAUAUAUAGAAGUAUUGUGAAGCAAAGCAGCGGUGGUAUUUUAUCAACCUAGCCCCUAUGCACCAGCAGAGAGCCUGAAUCUUACCAUUCUGGCAUUCCAGGAGGGAUCCACACAGAACGAGCCUCACAUGAUGGCAGUGACCUGGUUUCCCAAGCUGACCCCUGACAGAGCUAGGGCCAGACUGGUUCUGUGCUUCCUGCCCGUGCCCUUACCUUCCAAAAAGCCCGUUGUCUGUCAUUUUCACAUUUCUCCAAAUGUACCUUUAUCAGCUGUCUUUGGUCUUGGCCCUGGGUUUGUUUGUGGCUUCUUUUGAUGUAAUUAAACCACUCUCUGUGGAUCUGCCAUGCUCUUUCUUCCUCCAAUGAAGAGUGAUAGGGAUGAGGAGAGGUCAUAAAACUGCCGGAUAAUUAGUGUGUAGUCAGCGAGACGUAGGCCUGCCUGUAUCUAUGCAAGCAUCUCUGUACAGGAGCGGUUUGUUUUCUCCCGCUCAGAGCUUGUUCCAACGCCACAGGUUGUUUUCCUGUGGCCAUCUGUGAAGAAUCUGGUGUGCUGGCAUGGGCAGGGAGAAUAAUGUGGACAGAGGGGACAGUGGAGGCAAAGAUACAGAAGUAGAAACAUCAAAGGGGCAAUAUCGACUGUUUUAGCUUGACCGUAGCAUAGGCAAUG